This 147-nucleotide ribosomal RNA is filed under the name Olea europaea subsp. europaea. Its description in RNAcentral is "LSU_rRNA_bacteria". Lineage: Eukaryota; Viridiplantae; Streptophyta; Magnoliopsida; Lamiales; Oleaceae. The record is from RNAcentral.
CUAGAAGGAUUCUUCGGGCCGGAUGGACAUUGGCCCUCGUGUGCAAAGUCACAAGGUAACUAAACAUAUAGACUCACUCAUUGGGCAGGAAUGAAAGUUGGUUUAGUGAUUCAACGGAACGGAGUGAAAUGGAUGGCCAUUGCUCAA